Molecule: ribosomal RNA, 369 nt
Filed under: uncultured bacterium
Lineage: Bacteria
Description: bacterial SSU rRNA
Rfam family: Bacterial small subunit ribosomal RNA
Source: RNAcentral
ACGGAGGGUGCAAGCGUUAUCCGGAUUUAUUGGGUUUAAAGGGUCCGUAGGCGGAUUAAUAAGUCAGUGGUGAAAGCCUAUCGCUUAACGAUAGAACUGCCAUUGAUACUGUUAGUCUUGAGUGAUGUUGAAGUGGCUGGAAUGUGUAGUGUAGCGGUGAAAUGCUUAGAUAUUACGCAGAACACCAAUUGCGAAGGCAGGUCACUAAGUAUCAACUGACGCUGAUGGACGAAAGCGUGGGGAGCGAACAGGAUUAGAUACCCUGGUAGUCCACGCCGUAAACGAUGGAUACUUGCUGUUGGGGUUUCGGCUUCAGUGGCUAAGCGAAAGUUAUAAGUAUCCCACCUGGGGAGUACGUUCGCAAGAAUG